Molecule: ribosomal RNA, 465 nt
Filed under: uncultured bacterium
Lineage: Bacteria
Description: partial 16S ribosomal RNA
Rfam family: Bacterial small subunit ribosomal RNA
Source: RNAcentral
GACGAACGCUGGCGGCGUGCUUAACACAUGCAAGUCGUACGGUAAGGCCCUUUCUGUGGUACACGAGUGGCGAACGGGUGAGUAACACGUGAGUAACCUGCCCACAACUUUGGGAUAACGCUAGGAAACUGGUGGUAAUACUGGAUAUGUGCUCCUGCCGCAUGGUGGGGGUUGGAAAGCUCCGGCGGUUGUGGAUGGACUCGCGGCCUAUCGGCUUGUUGGUGGGGUAGUGGCCUACCAAGGCGGCGACGGGUAGCCGGGCUGAGAGGGUGACCGGCCACAGUGGGACUGAGAUACGGCCCCGGCUCCGACGGGAGGCAGCAGUGGGGAAUAUUGCACAAGGGGCGCAAGCCUGAUGCAGCAACGCCGCGGGCGGGAGGACGGCCUUCGGGUUGGAAAACGCUUUCAGCAGGGACGAAGCUUUUUGUGCCGGUACCUGCAGAAGAAGCACCGGCUAACUACGUG